This is a long non-coding RNA of Ananas comosus (pineapple), 240 nucleotides long. RefSeq lists it as uncharacterized. Lineage: Eukaryota; Viridiplantae; Streptophyta; Magnoliopsida; Poales; Bromeliaceae. The record is from RefSeq and is a predicted model, not a curated record. The transcript is spliced from 3 exons.
AGAAGAAGAAGAAGAAAAGAUUGAAGGGUGUCCGAGAGCAUGAAUUAGGGUGCUAUACAUUUCCAUUUAGGCGCAAUUUAAGUAUUUUCGGGCAAUCGUGAGAAGGGUCGCGUGUAGCAUUCCUUUUACCUGAGUUGACAUAGCAAGUCGAGGUGGGUUCCGAGUUGCCGAAAACGGCGAAUUUCCUCUUAUGUCUAUUUUGGCACAAGUUAAAUACUUUUUAUCGAUCCUCACAUGAAA